Molecule: long non-coding RNA, 270 nt
Filed under: Lathyrus oleraceus (garden pea)
Lineage: Eukaryota; Viridiplantae; Streptophyta; Magnoliopsida; Fabales; Fabaceae
Description: Pisum sativum (pea) long non-coding RNA (PSAT_LNC031010)
Source: RNAcentral
GCUUUCCAAAGCAAAACACAUAAAAGUCAGUUCACCGUGUGACAAAACUCAUACUUUAUUCUAAGACUUUUAUUUUCAAGAAAAACCCACCACUCCCCUCAUUUCUACCGCCAAUCAGAGUGAUCCUUCGAGCGGCAUGGAUCCAUCUCCUCCUCCGACAAUCAGCGGUGUUGUCCAAAACAAAAGAUCUUCGACUGGAGCCCAAAAUCUCAAAGCAGAUAAUGCCCAAAACGAACAAGAAACCUCUUCUCCUGGUGAAGAUGCUAAAAG